RNAcentral lists this unclassified non-coding RNA (547 nucleotides) under Hevea brasiliensis (rubber tree). Lineage: Eukaryota; Viridiplantae; Streptophyta; Magnoliopsida; Malpighiales; Euphorbiaceae. The record is from RNAcentral.
AAAAAAACUUGGAAAUAGCGAUACAAAACACCAAAGCUUAUCUAUUUGAAAGCAAUAUAUAUUGGAAUAUGCUUAUAUUAAAAAAAAAAAAAGUAGGAGAUAUAUAUUUGAUAAUACUAGUUGCUUCUCUUACAGGUGAAGAGUCCCAUUUCUAGGUAGUCUAAAAAGAGAUUUCUUAAGUUCUAAUCAAACCCCUUGUUGAAAAUGAACCUAUAAAAUUUAGGUUAAGUAACUGAAGAUUUUGCACUAUAGUUUUUCAACGGAGUAUAAUUUGAUGCAUGCAGACUAUACAAGCUCUUAAAAAUCAAAUUAAUAACAAUUCAAAGUUAUUGAUAAUUACUUGGUUAUUGUCAUUGGAUUACUAAUUUGUGGGUGUCCUAUUGUCACUGAAGAUAUCGAUGAGGUGUAACUUGAUUAAUCUCUUCAUAUGUAUAAGAAAGUAAAAAUUUUAAAUUUGAAUCUUUUUAUUCAUUAAAUAUGAAUAAAUUUAAGAAUUGGAAAAGAGUUAAAAAGAAAAAAAAAUCAAAAAUCUAUAAAACUUUAAUAU